UAGCCCGGCAUGACUCGGCCGCCUCUUAUCCUCCUGCCGCUGUCCGCCUGCGAGAGGGCUUGGCCUCGAGCCGCGGCACAGGAGGUUCAGGCUGGCCAGCAAGAGGAGUUUCUGCACAGACUGGGUGGUUCGACAUUGGAAUGCGCUGCCCGGGGAGGCGGUGCAGUCACCGUCCCUGGAGGUGGCACUCGGUGCCGCGGUCUGACUGACCCAGUGCGCGGUCAUAGGUUGGACUCGGUGAUCCAGAGGUCUUUCCCAACCCGACUGAUUCUAUUAUUCUGUUAAGUAUUCCUGAUUUGUGGAGUGUACGUGAGUUAAAGCAUCUCCACCCAUCGCUUUCCACCCCGGGUUCAUGGCCACAUUCGGGUCCGGGGAGGUGCCGGGGCCCUGGGAAGCACGCAGGUGCCAGAGGCCAAGCCUCAGCUAGGCUGUGAUUUCUCUCUUUGUCAGCUAUUUUCCCUUUUUUUUCCUGCAGACACUUCCCGGCAGUGCUGGGGCUUCCCUGUCCACUGUGGUGACGCCAAUUUUGGUACAUACCACAGUGACCCUGCCUGCCGUAAAUACCCCCCAGCUCCCUGCAGCUCAGCUCUGCUAUGAUGUCACAUGCAACACCUGCGAGCCAAACACAACCUAGUGCCUGAUGUCACCAUCUCAGCCAGGGGCUCAGCAUCUUCCAGGAACCCAGGGCUGCAUCACAAAGGAACAGCGGGACAGAGGCACUGAACCCGAAGCAUUGUCUGGAUUUAUGUCUCAUAAAUAAACUGCCUCGUAAAUAUGCCUUGUAAAUAAAAUAAAUACAGUAGUAGUGAUUUCUUUUGGUUUCAUCAACUGAGAAGUUUACACCAGUGCAAGACGCUGCCAAAAGUACUGGUCUUGUCCCCCGCCUUACUCCAGCCCUUCUCCCCAUCCCAGUCUUGGCUCAGCAUCGGCAGUUUUUGGCUGGGAGAGUUGGCUUUUGGAUGGGCUCAUUCCUGGCUUGCAGCCACUUCAUUUAUUGCCAGUGAACUGACUUGUUUGAGCUGAGAAGGAUCAACAGAUAAAAGAAAUCUGUGUAUUUGUGGGGGAAAGACAGGGCAAAUGCCAAGGAAAUAUGGCUGGGAGGCAGCUGGAAAGCCAAGUCUGAGUUUUGGCGGCAAAGGGCAGUGAGUGACUGGCAGCAGAGCAGUAAAAGGCCGCCCCGGGCCCUUGGGUGGGACACACGGGGCACGGCCGCACCUGAGCCCUUCCUGCUCCUGUUUGUCCAGCGAGUGCUGGGAUGUGCCCGACACAUUCCCGGCUGCACCUGAGCCCUUCCUGCUCCUGUUUGUCCAGCGAGUGCUGGGAUGUGCCCGACACAUUCCCGGCUGCACCU
Melospiza melodia melodia is the source of this 1351-nucleotide long non-coding RNA. RefSeq lists it as uncharacterized. The transcript has 5 exons. The record is from RefSeq and is a predicted model, not a curated record. Lineage: Eukaryota; Metazoa; Chordata; Aves; Passeriformes; Passerellidae.